AGUGAACGCUGGCGGUAGGCCUAACACAUGCAAGUCGAACGGCAGCACAGUAAGAGCUUGCUCUUACGGGUGGCGAGUGGCGGACGGGUGAGGAAUACAUCGGAAUCUACUUUUUCGUGGGGGAUAACGUAGGGAAACUUACGCUAAUACCGCAUACGACCUACGGGUGAAAGCAGGGGAUCUUCGGACCUUGCGCGAUUGAAUUAGCCGAUGUCGGAUUAGCUAGUUGGCGGGGUAAAGGCCCACCAAGGCGACGAUCCGUAGCUGGUCUGAGAGGAUGAUCAGCCACACUGGAACUGAGACACGGUCCAGACUCCUACGGGAGGCAGCAGUGGGGAAUAUUGGACAAUGGGCGCAAGCCUGAUCCAGCCAUACCGCGUGGGUGAAGAAGGCCUUCGGGUUGUAAAGCCCUUUUGUUGGGAAAGAAAAGCAGCAGGUUAAUACCACGCUGUUCUGACGGUACCCAAAGAAUAAGCACCGGCUAACUUCGUG
This 492-nucleotide ribosomal RNA is filed under the name uncultured bacterium. RNAcentral describes it as "partial 16S ribosomal RNA". It matches the Rfam family "Bacterial small subunit ribosomal RNA", at positions 29 to 507 of the family's 1533-position model. The record is from RNAcentral.